CUGCUCAAGAACCAGCUCAAGCCUCUCUCUCUCUCUUGGUUCAGGCGAUGUCGCCUCUGCUCAGCUGACGACCUCCAUCUCCUCUUCAUCGGUCAGCGUUGACGUCAUCUGGUAUCCCUCCCCGAUUUAAUGAAAUCAGGUUGAAAUGGAGGCUCCCCUGCUCUUUGGGAGAUUCUUGGUGAAAAGUGAUAGUGAGUCUUGCGUUGCUUGGCUGAAGUUGAGACUAAGAUAAGGAAGAGUUGUUGCUGCACUAGUAUGGUGGGGGAGUUGGUGGUUGUGGAGUUGGUGGGGAGAAAAGGAUGGUGGGAAGUGUGGUGGAGUGGAUGGUGGAAGAGUAGGUGUAGUGGUGGGAAAAAAUGUAGUGGAGGAUUAAUGAUGUAUAUUCUAUGUCUCGGUGAUUCUGUAACUGUAAUAAAAUACUGGCUUCUGUUCA
Molecule: long non-coding RNA, 433 nt
Organism: Salvia miltiorrhiza (redroot sage)
Lineage: Eukaryota; Viridiplantae; Streptophyta; Magnoliopsida; Lamiales; Lamiaceae
Exons: 2
Source: RefSeq, a predicted model, not a curated record